AUUGAACGCUGGCGGCAGGCCUAACACAUGCAAGUCGAGCGGAUGAAGGGAGCUUGCUCCUGGAUUCAGCUGCGGACGGAUGAGUGAUGCCUAGGAAUCUGCCUGGUAGUGGGGGAUAACGUCCGGAAACGGGCGCUAAUACCGCAUACGUCCUGAGGGAGAAAGGGGGGGAUCUUCAGACCUAACGCUAUCAGAUGAGCCUAGGUCGUAUUAGCUAGUUGGUGGGGUAAAGGCCUACCAAGGCGACGAUCCGUAACUGCGCUGAGAGGAUGAUCAGCCACACUGGAACUGAGACACGGUCCAGACUCCUACGGGAGGCAGCAGUGGGGAAUAUUGCACAAUGGGCGAAAGCCUGAUCCAGCCACGCCGCGUGUGUGAAGAAGGUCUUCGGAUUGUAAAGCACUGUAAGUUGGGAGGAAGGGAAGUAAGUUUAUCUCUUCACGUCUUGACGUUACCUACAGAAUAAGCCCCGGCUAACUUCGUG
RNAcentral lists this ribosomal RNA (484 nucleotides) under uncultured bacterium. Its description in RNAcentral is "partial 16S ribosomal RNA". It matches the Rfam family "Bacterial small subunit ribosomal RNA", at positions 30 to 507 of the family's 1533-position model. The record is from RNAcentral.